GAUGAACGCUAGCGGCAGGCUUAAUACAUGCAAGUCGUGGGGCAGCAUGAGUAGCAAUACUUGAUGGCGACCGGCAAACGGGUGAGGAACACGUACACAACCUUCCUUCAAGCGGGGAAUAGCCCAGAGAAAUUUGGAUUAAUACCCCAUAAUAUAUUUGAUAAGGCAUCUUAUUAAUAUUAAAGCUUCGGCACUUGAUGAUGGGUGUGCGGCUGAUUAGAUAGUUGGCGGGGUAACGGCCCACCAAGUCUACGAUCAGUAGCUGAUGUGAGAGCAUGAUCAGCCACACGGGCACUGAGACACGGGCCCGACUCCUACGGGAGGCAGCAGUAAGGAUAUUGGACAAUGGACGAAGUCUGAUCCAGCCAUGCCGCGU
This 376-nucleotide ribosomal RNA is filed under the name uncultured bacterium. RNAcentral's name for it is "bacterial SSU rRNA". It matches the Rfam family "Bacterial small subunit ribosomal RNA", at positions 28 to 402 of the family's 1533-position model. The record is from RNAcentral.